Molecule: transfer RNA, 73 nt
Filed under: Oryctes borbonicus
Lineage: Eukaryota; Metazoa; Arthropoda; Insecta; Coleoptera; Scarabaeidae
Rfam family: tRNA
About the family: Transfer RNA (tRNA) molecules are approximately 80 nucleotides in length. Their secondary structure includes four short double-helical elements and three loops (D, anti-codon, and T loops).
Source: Rfam by way of RNAcentral
GUCCCCGGGGUGUAAUGGUUAACACGCCCGUCUAACAAACGGGAGUUGCCACGUUCGAUUCCUUACUGGGACA